GAAUGCUUAUGCGGCGGUGAGCGGCAAAGCUCAAAUUUGAAAUCUGUGCCUUUCAGUGUCCGAGUUGUAAUUUGAAGAAGCUAUCUUUGGGUCUGGCUCUUGUCUAUGUUUCUUGGAACAGAACGUCACAGAGGGUGAGAAUCCCGUGCGAUGAGAUGUCCCAGACCUAUGUAAAGUUCCUUCGAAGAGUCGAGUUGUUUGGUAUGGCA
Molecule: ribosomal RNA, 209 nt
Filed under: Candida maltosa
Lineage: Eukaryota; Fungi; Ascomycota; Pichiomycetes; Serinales; Debaryomycetaceae
Description: partial large subunit ribosomal RNA
Rfam family: Eukaryotic large subunit ribosomal RNA (bases 26-209)
Source: RNAcentral